RNAcentral lists this small RNA (37 nucleotides) under Sinorhizobium meliloti 2011. RNAcentral describes it as "putative ncRNA". The record is from RNAcentral. Lineage: Bacteria; Pseudomonadati; Pseudomonadota; Alphaproteobacteria; Hyphomicrobiales; Rhizobiaceae.
UCAGGAUCUCUGUAACGAUCACGAGAGGUCGUCUUGG